GGACGCAUUUUGUGCAGUUAUG
RNAcentral lists this microRNA (22 nucleotides) under Drosophila ananassae. RNAcentral describes it as "Dan-Mir-3-P2_5p* (star (passenger))". The record is from RNAcentral. Lineage: Eukaryota; Metazoa; Arthropoda; Insecta; Diptera; Drosophilidae.